ACAGGAAGGAGUGUUGUCCACAGUGAAGCUGGUGGGAGACUGAGGAUGUGUUGCCUGCUGCAUGACCUGCAAGUGAAGCUGUGGGCUUAUAAGGCCUCAGUGACACCCACCAAGGGACUUGCCAUAAUGAGACUCGAUCCUGGGCAGACUGAGCAGAUGCUAGGUCCUGUGGAUGUGACAUGGAACGGAUGUCACCUUCAGUCUUCUGCAGCAUCCAAAGUCCUGCAAUAUUCCUGGAGCCAGUGACAUCCUGUGAAAACUCAUGGAAGUCUCUGGAAAGAAGAAGCCCAGAAUUUACCAAGCUUGUCAAUGACCACAUGAUCAAUUCCACCCCACAGAAUCUAAAGAAUAAGACCCUUGGCUUCAGCAAGGGACAUGGGUGUCCUGGGGCUGUCAUAGCAAGGUUCCACAGACCAGCACAGAACAAACACAUUGCUCACUGUUGA
This 446-nucleotide long non-coding RNA is filed under the name Mus spicilegus (steppe mouse). RNAcentral describes it as "lncRNA (ENSMSIG00000017610.1)". Lineage: Eukaryota; Metazoa; Chordata; Mammalia; Rodentia; Muridae. The record is from RNAcentral.